This 377-nucleotide ribosomal RNA is filed under the name uncultured bacterium. RNAcentral describes it as "bacterial SSU rRNA". It matches the Rfam family "Bacterial small subunit ribosomal RNA", at positions 523 to 898 of the family's 1533-position model. The record is from RNAcentral.
AAACGUAGGGGGCGAGCGUUGUCCGGAAUUACUGGGCGUAAAGGGCGUGUAGGCGGCUAGGUAAGUCAGGUGUGAAAACUUUUGGCUCAACCAGGAGACUGCACCUGAAACUGCGUAGCUUGAGGGUAGGAGAGGAAAGUGGAAUUCCUAGUGUAGCGGUGAAAUGCGUAGAUAUUAGGAGGAACACCAGUGGCGAAGGCGACUUUCUGGCCUAACCCUGACGCUGAGGCGCGAAAGCGUGGGGAGCAAACAGGAUUAGAUACCCUGGUAGUCCACGCCGUAAACGAUGGGUACUAGGUGUAGGAGGUAUCGACCCCUUCUGUGCCGCAGCAAACGCAUUAAGUACCCCGCCUGGGGAGUACGGCCGCAAGGCUGAA